Molecule: ribosomal RNA, 702 nt
Filed under: Frondihabitans sp.
Lineage: Bacteria; Bacillati; Actinomycetota; Actinomycetes; Micrococcales; Microbacteriaceae
Description: bacterial SSU rRNA
Rfam family: Bacterial small subunit ribosomal RNA
Source: RNAcentral
ACACAUGCAAGUCGAACGAUGAACUGGAGCUUGCUCCAGGGAUUAGUGGCGAACGGGUGAGUAACACGUGAGUAACCUGCCCUUGACUCUGGGAUAAGCGUUGGAAACGACGUCUAAUACCGGAUAUGAACUGUGACGGCAUCGUCUGCAGUUGGAAAGAAUUUUGGUCAAGGAUGGACUCGCGGCCUAUCAGGUAGUUGGUGAGGUAAUGGCUCACCAAGCCGACGACGGGUAGCCGGCCUGAGAGGGUGACCGGCCACACUGGGACUGAGACACGGCCCAGACUCCUACGGGAGGCAGCAGUGGGGAAUAUUGCACAAUGGGCGAAAGCCUGAUGCAGCAACGCCGCGUGAGGGACGACGGCCUUCGGGUUGUAAACCUCUUUUAGUAGGGAAGAAGCGAAAGUGACGGUACCUGCAGAAAAAGCACCGGCUAACUACGUGCCAGCAGCCGCGGUAAUACGUAGGGUGCAAGCGUUGUCCGGAAUUAUUGGGCGUAAAGAGCUCGUAGGCGGUUUGUCGCGUCUGCUGUGAAAUCUGGGGGCUCAACCCCCAGCCUGCAGUGGGUACGGGCAGACUAGAGUGCGGUAGGGGAGAUUGGAAUUCCUGGUGUAGCGGUGGAAUGCGCAGAUAUCAGGAGGAACACCGAUGGCGAAGGCAGAUCUCUGGGCCGUAACUGACGCUGAGGAGCGAAAGCAUGGGG